RNAcentral lists this ribosomal RNA (457 nucleotides) under uncultured bacterium. Its description in RNAcentral is "partial 16S ribosomal RNA". It matches the Rfam family "Bacterial small subunit ribosomal RNA", at positions 338 to 795 of the family's 1533-position model. The record is from RNAcentral.
CCUACGGGUGGCUGCAGUGGGGAAUAUUGGGCAAUGGGCGAAAGCCUGACCCAGCAACGCCGCGUGAAGGAAGAAGGCUUUCGGGUUGUAAACCUCUUUUGUCGGAGAACAAAACCCGGGACGUGUCCCGGACUGCGUGUAUCCGAAGAAAAAGCAUCGGCUACUCCGGGCCAGCAGCCGCGGUAAUACGGAGGAUGCGAGCGUUAUCCGGAUUUAUUGGGUUUAAAGGGUGCGUAGGCGGUCCGUUAAGGCAGCGGUAAAAUUGCGGGGCUCAACCCCCGCGAGCCGUUGAAACUGGCAGACUUGAGUUGGCGAGAAGUACGCGGAAUGCGCGGUGUAGCGGUGAAAUGCAUAGAUAUCGCGCAGAACUCCGAUUGCGAAGGCAGCGUACCGGCGCCAGACUGACGCUGAGGCACGAAAGCGUGGGGAUCGAACAGGAUUAGAUACCCGAGUAGUC